AGCGGCGGACGGGUGAGUAACGCGUGGGUAACCUGCCUCGUACAGGGGGAUAACAGUUAGAAAUGACUGCUAAUACCGCAUAAGACCACAGCACCGCAUGGUGCAGGGGUAAAAACUCCGGUGGUAUGAGAUGGACCCGCGUCUGAUUAGCUAGUUGGUAAGGUAACGGCUUACCAAGGCGACGAUCAGUAGCCGACCUGAGAGGGUGAACGGCCACAUUGGGACUGAGACACGGCCCAA
RNAcentral lists this ribosomal RNA (240 nucleotides) under uncultured bacterium. Its description in RNAcentral is "partial 16S ribosomal RNA". It matches the Rfam family "Bacterial small subunit ribosomal RNA", at positions 94 to 334 of the family's 1533-position model. The record is from RNAcentral.